RNAcentral lists this long non-coding RNA (4933 nucleotides) under Nicotiana tabacum (common tobacco). Its description in RNAcentral is "long non-coding RNA (NTAB_LNC000707)". The record is from RNAcentral. Lineage: Eukaryota; Viridiplantae; Streptophyta; Magnoliopsida; Solanales; Solanaceae.
UUCCAGUUGUAGUCCCGAACGACAAAACUGAAAGUAAAACUCCAAGCAUUACAAACAAUAAUGCUGCUCACUUUUCAGAAGUUGAGGAAAACCCUGAAGAACCUGCAGUAAAAGAAAAAACUGAAAAACCAGUUCUUGAAGAGAAACCUGAAGAACCAACAGUUGAAGAGAAAUCUGAAGAACCAGUUGAGGAGAAACCUGAAGAACCAACAGCUGAAGAGAAACCUGAAGAACCAGCAACUAAAGAAAAACAAGUGCUAGUAGGGGAGGAAACAGCUGAAGAACUAGCGCUUGAAGAGAAACCUGAAGAACUAACGAUUGAACAGACAGAUGAAGAACUAGUUGUUGAAGAUAAAACUGAAAAACCACCAAAUAAAGAGGAGAGACCUGAAACGGUAACUCUCCUUUAGCAGUGUCACAGAGUUUAUCCAUCCUAUUAGUUCUAUAUGUGCAACGAAUUCAUAUCUGUUUAUCUAUUGAAAUACUAAGUGAAAAUUCAAAUUUUCUUGCAGAAUUUGCCCAUUGCAGACUCAAAGGACCAGACUGACAAUGCAAUUCCAUGCGAUACCAACAAUGAUAUUGCUGACUAUGCAACAGUUGAGGAAAAACCUGAAGAAACAGUAGUUGAAGAAAAACAUGAAGAACCUGCAAUUGAAAAGAAAUUUGAAGAAUCAACAGUUAUGGAGAAACCUGAAGAACCAGCAGUGGAAGAAAAACCUGAAGAACCAACAGUUAAAGAGGAACCUGAAAAAUCAGUGAUGGAAGAGAAACCUGAAGAACCAAUUGUUGAGGAGAAACUUGAAGAACCAACUGUUGAAGAGAAACCUGAAAAAUCACUGAUUGAAGAAACACCUGAAGAACCAAUAUGGGAAGAAACACCUAAAGAACUAGCAUUUGAAGAGAAACCAGAAGAACCAGCAGUUGAAGAGGAGAAACCUGAAAAGGUAACUCUUUUGGAAGAGGUGAGUAUCAAGCAUUAGCACAUAGUUUAUCCAUCAUGUUAUUUCUGUAUGUGCAUCGAUUCACAUCUGCUUAUCUAUUGAAAGUCUAAAUGAGACUUUAAAUUCUUCUUGCAGAAUAUACCAGCUGUAGAUUUCAACGACAAGACUGACCGUGAAAUUCCAUGCGAUACCAACAAUGAUAUUGCUGACUAUGCAACAGUUGAGGAAAAACCUGAAGAACCGGUAGUUGAAGAAAAACAUGAAGAACCUGCAAUUGAAAAGAAAUUUGAAGAAUCAACGGUUAUGGAGAAACCUGAAAAACCAGUGGUUAAGGUACAACCUGAAGAACCAGCAGUGGAAGAAAAAGUUGAAGAACCAACAGUUAAUGAGGAACCUGAAAAAUCAGCGAUGGAAGAGAACCCUGAAGAAUCAAUUGUUGAGGAGAAACUUGAAGAACCAACUGUUGAAGAGAAACCUGAAAAAUCACUGAUUGAAGAAACACCUGAAGAACCAAUAUGGAAAGAAACACCUAAAGAACUAGCAUUUGAAGAGCAACCAGAAGAACCAGCAGUUGAAGAGGAGAAACCUGAAAAGGUAUCUCUUUUGGAAGAGGUGAGUAUCAAGCAUUAUCACAUAGUUUAUCCAUCCUGUUAUUUCUGUAUGUGCGACGAUUCACAUCUGCUUAUCUAUUGAAAGACUAAAUGAGACUUUAAAUUCUUCUUGCAGAAUAUGCCAGCUGUAGAUUUCAACGACAAGACUGACUGUGAAAUUCCAUGCAAUACCAACAAUGAUGUUGCUGAAUAUGUAGCAAUUGAGGAAAACCUUGAAGAACCAGCAGUUGAAGAAAAACAUGAAGAACCAACAGUUGAGGAGAAACCUGAAGAACUAGCAGUUGAAGAGAAACCCGAAAAACCAACAAUUGAGGAGAAACAUGAAGAACCAAUAGUUGAGAAGAAACCUGAAGAACCAGUAGUUGAGGAGAAACCAGAAGAACCACUAAUUGAAGAGGAGAAAUCUGAAAGGGUAACUUUCCUAGAAAAGGUGAGGAUCAAGCAUUGUCAAAAGGUUUAUCCAUCUUAUUAGUUGUGUAUGUGCGACGAUUCACAUCUGCUUACUUAUUGAAAGACUAAGUGAAACUUCAAAAUUCUUGCAGAGUAUGCUAGUUGUAGACUCGAACGACAAGACUGACAGUGAAAUUCCAUGCAAUACCAACAAAGAUGCUGCCCACUUUCCCGAAGUUGAGGCAAACCCUGAAGAACCAGCAGUUGAAGGAAAACCUAAAGAACCCGUUGAUGAAGAGAAACCAGAUGUACCAGUGGUUGAGAAACCUGAAAAACAAAUGGUUGAGGAGAAACUUGAAGAACCAAUGAUUGAGGAGAAAUCUGACGAACUAGUCGAGGAGAAAUCUCAACAACCAGCGGCUGAAAAGAAACCUGAAGAACCAGCAGCUAAAGAAUCACUUAAAGAGCUAGCAGGGGAGGAAACAACUGAAGAACUAGCACUUGAAGAGAAACUUAGAGAACCAACAGUUGAAGAACUAGUUCUUGAAGAUAAACCUGAAAACCCAGAAAAUGAAGAGGAUAAACUUGAAACAGUAACUCUCCAGGAAAAGGUAAGAAACAAGCAGUGUCACAGAGUUUAUCCAUCCUAUUAGCUCUACAUAUGCAAUGAAUUCACAUCUGUUUAUCCACUGAAAGACUAAGUGAAACUUUAAAUUUUUCUUGCAGAAUUUACCAAUUGCAGACUCAAACGACAAGACUGACAAUGCAACUCCCUGCAAUAACAACAAUGAUAUUGCUGACUCUGCAGCAGUUAAGGAAAAAACUGAAGAACCAGUAGUUGAGGAAAAACAUGAAGAACCGGCAACUGAAGAGAAAUCUGAAGAAUCAGAAUUUAUGAAAAAAACUGAAGAACCAGCGGUUGAGGUAAAACCUGAAGAACCAUCAGUGGAAGAGAAGCCUGAAGAACCAGCGGUUAGGAAAAAUCCUGAAGAACCAGCAGUUAAUGAGGAACCUGCAAAAUCAGCAACGGAAGAGAAACCUGAAGAACCAAUUGCUGAGGAGAAACUUGAAGAACCAACUCUUAAAGAGAAACCUGGAAAACCAGUAAUUGAAGAAACACCUGAAGAACCAACACUGGAAGUAACACCUAAAGAACAAGCAGAGAAACCUGAAGAACCAGUUGAAGAGGAAAAAACUGACAAGGUAACUCUUUUGGAAAAGGUGAGCAUCAAACACUGUCACAAAUUUUUGCCAUCAUAUUAGUUCUGUAUGUGCAACAAUUCACAUCUAAUUAUCCAUUGAAAGACUAAGUGAAACUUUAAUUCUUCUUGCAGAAUAUACCAGUUGUAGAUUUCAAUGAUACGACUGACAGUGAAAUUCCAUGCAAUACCAACGACGAUGUUGCUGAAGACGUAGCAGUUGAGGAAAACCUUGAAGAACCAUCAGUUGAGGAGAAACCUGAAGAAUUAGCGGUUGAAGAGAAACCUGAAAAACCAGCAAUUGAGGAGAAACGUGAAGAACCAAUAAUUGAGAAGAAACCUAAAGAACCAGCAGUUGAGGAGAAACCUGAAGAACAAACCGUUGAAGAGAGACUUGAAGAACCAACAAUUGAAGAUGAGAAACUUGAAGAACCAACAAAUGAAGAUGAGAAACUUGAAAGGGUAACUCUCCUAGGAAAGGUGAGGAUCUAGCACUGUCACAAAGUUUGUCCAUCCUAAUAGUUUUAUACGUGCAAGACUUUCAGAUCUGCUUAUUGAAAAACUAAAUGAAACUUUAAAUUCUUCUUACAGAAUAUGCAAGUUGUAGACUCCAUCGACAAGACUGACUGUGAAAUUCCAUGCAACACCAACAAUGAUGUUGCUUACCAUCCAGCAGUUGAGGAAAAUCUAGAAAAAACAGCAAUUGUGGAAACAACUGAUGAACCAGUGGUUGAAGAGAAACCUGAUGUACCAGCGAUUAAGGAGAAACCUGAAGUACCAAAUAUUGAGCAGAAACUUGAAGAGUUAGCAGGAGAGGAAACACAUGAAGAACUAGCAGUUGAAGAGAAACUAGAAGAACCAAUUACUGAAGAGACACCUGCAGAACUAGUUAUAGAAGAGAAACCUGAAAACCCAGCAGUUGAAGAGGAGAAACCUGAAACAGACGCUCUCCAAACGAAGGUCAGGAUUAAACAUUGUCACAAAAUUUAUCCAUCCUAUUAGCUUUAUAUGUGCAAGGAACUCACAUAUGCUAAUCUAUUGAAAGACUAAGUCAAACUUUAAAUUUUUCUUGCAGAAUAUGCCAAUUGUAGACUCAAAGGACAAGAUUGACAUUGAAAGUCCAGGCAAUAUCAACAAUGAUGGUGCUGACUAUCCAGAAGUUGAAGAUAAACCUGAAGAACUAGCAGUUGAAGAAAAACAUGAAGAACAAGCAAUUGAAGAGAAGCCUGAAGAACCAGCAAUUAAGGAAAAAGCUGAUGAACCAGCAGUGCAAGAAAAACUUGAAGAACCAGCUGUGGAAAAGAAACCUGAAGAACCAGUGGCUACGGAGAAACCUGAAGAACCAGCAAUUAAGGAAAAAGCUGAUGAACCAGCAGCGCAGGAGAAACCUGAAGAACCAGCUGUGGGAAAGAAACCUGAAGAACCAGUGGCUACGGAGAAACCUAAAGAACCAGCAAUUAAGGAAAAAGCUGAUGAACCAGCAGUGCAAGAGAAACCUGAAGAACCAGCUGUGGAAAAGAUACCUGAAGAACCAGCAGUCGAGGAGAAAUUUGACGAACCAGCAGUUGGAGAGAAAUCAGAAGAACCAGUAGUUGAACAAACACCUGCAGGACCAGCAUGGGAAGAAACACCUAAAGAACUAGCAUUUGAAGAGAAACCUGAAGAACCAGCAGUUGAAGAAACACCUGAAGAACCAGCAGUUGAAGAAACACCUGAAGAACUAGCAGUUGAAAAGAACCCUGAAAAAACAGCAGUCGGAGAGAAACAUGAAAAAGUAACUCUCUUGGAAAAG